Molecule: non-coding RNA, 75 nt
Organism: Streptomyces hygroscopicus
Lineage: Bacteria; Bacillati; Actinomycetota; Actinomycetes; Kitasatosporales; Streptomycetaceae
Source: Rfam
CUUGAGGGAGCCCAGCCACAGCGGCUGCCCCUCCGGCCGCUCCCGGCCGUACGUGGCGAGCAGCGCCUGCGCCUC